Molecule: ribosomal RNA, 475 nt
Filed under: uncultured bacterium
Lineage: Bacteria
Description: bacterial SSU rRNA
Rfam family: Bacterial small subunit ribosomal RNA
Source: RNAcentral
UCGAACGAAUCCCGGGGGGCAACUCCCGGGGGAAGUGGCGAAAGGGGCAGUAAGGCAUGGGUAACCUACCCCGAGGACCGGGAUAGCCCUCCUAACGGAGGGGUAAUACUGGGCGAUCUGACGAGGUGGCAUCAUCUUGUCAGCAAAGGAAUUUCGCCUUGGGAGGGGCUCAUGUGCUAUUAGCUAGUUGGCGGGGUAACGGCCCACCAAGGCGAAGAUGGCUAGCGGGUGUGAGAGCACGACCCGCGCCACUGGCACUGUGACACUGGCCAGACUCCUACGGGAGGCUGCAGUCGAGGAUCUUCGGCAAUGGGCGCAAGCCUGACCGAGCGACGCCGCGUGUGCGAUGAAGGCCUUCGGGUUGUAAAGCACUAUCGAGGGGGAGGAAAGCCCGCAAGGGUCUGACCUAUCCCUGGAGGAAGCACGGGCUAAGUUCGUGCCAGCAGCCGCGGUAAGACGAACCGUGCGAACGUUG